CCCUUAGAUGUCCGGGGCCGCACGCGCGCUACACUGAAGGAAUCAGCGUGGCUUUCUCCCUGACCCGAAAGGGUUGGGAAACCCGUUGAAUCUCCUUCGUGAUAGGGAUUGGGGCUUGAAAUUGUUCCCCAUGAACGAGGAAUUCCCAGUAAGCGCGAGUCAUAAGCUCGCGUUGAUUACGUCCCUGCCCUUUGUAUACACCGCCCGUCGCUACUACCGAUUGAACGGUUUAGUGAGGGCCUCGGAUUGGUCUCGGCCCGCUCUUUACCGGGCGGCGCCGUUGGUCGAGAAGACGCUCGAACUUGAUCGUUUAGAGGAAGUAAAAGUCGUAACA
This 334-nucleotide ribosomal RNA is filed under the name uncultured eukaryote. RNAcentral's name for it is "partial 18S ribosomal RNA". It matches the Rfam family "Eukaryotic small subunit ribosomal RNA", at positions 1470 to 1796 of the family's 1831-position model. The record is from RNAcentral.